AGAGUUUGAUCAUGGCUCAGGAUGAACGCUAGCGGCAGGCUUAACACAUGCAAGUCGAGGGGUAGAGGAAGCUUGCUUCCUUGAGACCGGCGCACGGGUGCGUAACGCGUAUGCAAUCUACCUUAUACAGGGGGAUAGCCCAGAGAAAUUUGGAUUAAUACCCCAUAGUAUAAUUGAAUGGCAUCAUUUAAUUAUUAAAGUUCCAACGGUAUAAGAUGAGCAUGCGUCCCAUUAGCUAGUUGGUGUGGUAACGGCACACCAAGGCGACGAUGGUAGGGGUCCUGAGAGGGAGAUCCCCCACACUGGUACUGAGACACGGACCAGACUCCUACGGGAGGCAGCAGUGAGGAAUAUUGGUCAAUGGGCGCAAGCCUGAACCAGCCAUGCCGCGUGCAGGAUGACGGUCCUAUGGAUUGUAAACUGCUUUGUACAGGAAGAAACACUCCCUCGUGAGGGAGCUUGACGGUACUGUAAGAAUAAGGAUCGGCUAACUCCGUG
This 498-nucleotide ribosomal RNA is filed under the name uncultured bacterium. RNAcentral describes it as "bacterial SSU rRNA". It matches the Rfam family "Bacterial small subunit ribosomal RNA", at positions 8 to 507 of the family's 1533-position model. The record is from RNAcentral.